CCAACGAGACCAACUGCAGCGGGAGAAAAAAUUAUAUAAUUGAAAACUUCUUUCGAAUACGAAUUUACUGAUAUAAUUUUUGCUCCCGCCGCAAUCGGUCUUGAUAGUUAAAUUUACGGUCAAAGUUAAAGCACGGGGAUAGAGGAAGCAAGAAUGAAGGGAAUAUAUAGCAGCCUAACCCUAGAUUUUAGGUAGACUGUCCCAUCCAUCAGCUGCCGCAGUCGCACUCAUCCCCACCUCGGGAUCUUCCCGGAUCCAUCUGGCAGCUACCCACAGGCCAGCGGUCUCCCCCUCGAUCACCAUUCCACCAGUCGCCUCCGGAUCCAAAAACCCACCAACCAGAGCCAGCCCACAGCCGCAUCGACCUCCUCCCCGAGCAUCGCGUCCGGCAGAGAGCCGAGUUGCCGGACUAGCAUAUGAGUCUCACACCGCUCCUACCUUCCCGUCGUUCCUCUCCCUCCUCCCGCUGCUCUCUCUGUUCCCAUCUAAUCUCUCUCUCUCUCUAUACUCCGUGGACAAAGCCUGCCAUGGAUCUCCAGCCGUCGACUACUGGAGCUUCGUCCCCAUCGCCAAAGUUCCCCCACGCAUCGCCCGGCCGCUCGCCGAUGUGGGAAGGUGACCACCGCGUCCACCAGGAGCACGGCGCCGCGUGCGCCACCGGAUAUGGCCGGACCGGACAUCCAAGUCCUCCUCUCGGCGGAUCCGCCUCUUCCCUGCUGUCUCCUUGCCCCGACGCCGCCUUCCCUUGCCUCGCCGUCGGCAAGUCCCACCACUCGAACUCUCACCGCACCAUGGAUGGAUUUGCUUCGACCACCUCGGCGCCUCCGGCUGCAGAUCAAGCCACUGCCCUGGAGCCUCUCAACCGACGCCGCCGGAACUCCUCUCGCUGUCGCCCAUGGCCUCGUCUUCGGCCAGAACGAGCCGUCCCCGACCUCUCCUCGUCGUCCGUCCGCCGGUCACAGCGCCAUGGCCUCCUCACGUCACCGGGAGGUCCUCCCGCUGACCGGAGCCGCUGGAGUCGGGGCCUCCUCAGUUCUGCCGGGUCCCUGCUCCAUCCCGCGACCCGAGCUCGCGUGCUCGUUUCCUCUGCUCGCGCGACAGGACGAGCGCCGUAUGCGUUGACCACUUCCUGCCUCAUCAGCCAGUGGGUGAGACCCCCAGCCGAGGCCGUGACCAAUCCCAGCCCCGAGCCGGCCUGAUGGCCCAUGUUGCAGGUGCCGAGGAUACCGGUGCAGGUGAAGCUACUAAACUCUAAUGGGAGUUCGACGAGGAUCUGGAUCCUUACUAUGUGUCGUUUCCUGAUGAUCAGUAAUGGAGCCCAGUUGGGACGAUCGGGGAUCUAGCAUUUGGGGUUUAUCUUCCUUUUUAUUCGGUUUUGACCGUAGUCGGUCUUUGAGUGUAUUUGGAUGAUGUAUGAAUUAUUUAUGCAUUGUGUGAAGUGGCGAUUGUAAGCCAACUCUUUAUACCAUUCUUAUUCAGUA
Molecule: long non-coding RNA, 1481 nt
Organism: Triticum urartu
Lineage: Eukaryota; Viridiplantae; Streptophyta; Magnoliopsida; Poales; Poaceae
Source: RefSeq, a predicted model, not a curated record